CCUACGGGCGGCAGCAGUGAGGAAUAUUGGUCAAUGGACGAGAGUCUGAACCAGCCAAGUAGCGUGAAGGAUGACUGCCCUAUGGGUUGUAAACUUCUUUUAUAUGGGAAUAAAAUGUUCCACGUGUGGGAUUUUGUAUGUACCAUAUGAAUAAGGAUCGGCUAACUCCGUGCCAGCAGCCGCGGUAAUACGGAGGAUCCGAGCGUUAUCCGGAUUUAUUGGGUUUAAAGGGAGCGUAGGUGGAUUGUUAAGUCGGUUGUGAAAGUUUGCGGCUCAACCGUAAAAUUGCAGUUGAAACUGGCAGUCUUGAGUACAGUAGAGGUGGGCGGAAUUCGUGGUGUAGCGGUGAAAUGCUUAGAUAUCACGAAGAACUCCGAUUGCGAAGGCAGUUCACUGGACUGCAACUGACACUGAGGCUCGAAAGUGUGGGUAUCAAACAGGAUUAGAUACCCGAGUAGUC
RNAcentral lists this ribosomal RNA (460 nucleotides) under uncultured bacterium. RNAcentral describes it as "partial 16S ribosomal RNA". It matches the Rfam family "Bacterial small subunit ribosomal RNA", at positions 338 to 795 of the family's 1533-position model. The record is from RNAcentral.